Molecule: ribosomal RNA, 108 nt
Filed under: uncultured bacterium
Lineage: Bacteria
Description: partial 16S ribosomal RNA
Rfam family: Bacterial small subunit ribosomal RNA
Source: RNAcentral
AAUACGUUCCCGGGCCUUGUACACACCGCCCGUCAAGCCAUGGAAGCUGGGGGUACCUGAAGUCGGUGACCGCAAGGAGCUGCCUAGGGUAAACUAGUAACUGGGGCU